GACGAACGCUGGCGGCGUGCUUAACACAUGCAAGUCGAGCGGUAAGGCCCUUUCGGGGGUACACGAGCGGCGAACGGGUGAGUAACACGUGGGUGACCUGCCCUCAGCUCUGGGAUAAGCCUGGGAAACCGGGUCUAAUACCGGAUAUGACUCCAUGACGCAUGUUGUGGGGUGGAAAGCCUUGUGCGGCUGAGGAUGGGCCCGCGGCCUAUCAGCUUGUUGGUGGGGUGAUGGCCUACCAAGGCGACGACGGGUAGCCGGCCUGAGAGGGCGACCGGCCACACUGGGACUGGGACACGGCCCAGACUCCUACGGGAGGCAGCAGUGGGGAAUCUUGCGCUAAUGCGGGAAACCGUGACGCAGCGACGCCGCGUGAGGGAAGAAGGCC
This 388-nucleotide ribosomal RNA is filed under the name uncultured bacterium. Its description in RNAcentral is "bacterial SSU rRNA". It matches the Rfam family "Bacterial small subunit ribosomal RNA", at positions 28 to 416 of the family's 1533-position model. The record is from RNAcentral.